GCAGGCUGCAACUCGCCUGCAUGAAGUUGGAAUUGCUAGUAAUCGCGAAUCAGAAUGUCGCGGUGAAUACGUUCCCGGGCCUUGUACACACCGCCCGUCACACCAUGAGAGUCGAUAACACCCGAAGCCUGUGAGCUAACCGCAAGGAGGCAGCAGUCGAAGGUGGGGUUGAUGAUUGGGGUGAAGUCGUAACAAGGUACC
This 201-nucleotide ribosomal RNA is filed under the name uncultured bacterium. RNAcentral's name for it is "partial 16S ribosomal RNA". It matches the Rfam family "Bacterial small subunit ribosomal RNA", at positions 1300 to 1500 of the family's 1533-position model. The record is from RNAcentral.